Molecule: ribosomal RNA, 505 nt
Filed under: uncultured bacterium
Lineage: Bacteria
Description: bacterial SSU rRNA
Rfam family: Bacterial small subunit ribosomal RNA
Source: RNAcentral
GAUGAACGCUAGCUACAGGCUUAACACAUGCAAGUCGAGGGGCAGCAUAAACUAGCAAUAGUUUGAUGGCGACCGGCGCACGGGUGAGUAACACGUAUCCAACCUUCCGUUUACACGGGGAUAGCCUUCUGAAAGGGAGAUUAAUACCCGAUAGUAUAUAAGUACCGCAUGAUACUUAUAUUAAAUGAAUUUCGGUAAACGAUGGGGAUGCGUUCCAUUAGAUAGUAGGUGAGGUAACGGCUCACCUAGUCUGCGAUGGAUAGGGGUUCUGAGAGGAAGGUCCCCCACACUGGUACUGAGACACGGACCAGACUCCUACGGGAGGCAGCAGUGAGGAAUAUUGGUCAAUGGGCGGAAGCCUGAACCAGCCAAGUAGCGUGAAGGAUGACUGCCCUAUGGGUUGUAAACUUCUUUUAUAAGGGAAUAACCAUAUCUACGUGUAGAUAUCUGUAUGUACCUUACGAAUAAGCAUCGGCUAACUCCGUGCCAGCAGCCGCAGUAAAAC